UACGUAGGGGGCGAGCGUUGUCCGGAUUUAUUGGGCGUAAAGAGCGUGUAGGUGGCCAGGUAGGUCUGCUGUGAAAACUCGAGGCUCAACCUCGAGACGUCGGCGGAAACCAUCUGGCUAGAGUCCGGAAGAGGGUAGUGGAAUUCCCGGUGUAGCAGUGAAAUGCGUAGAGAUCGGGAGGAACAUCCAUGGCGAAGGCAGCUACCUGGACCAACACUGACACUGAGGCACGAAAGCGUGGGGAGCAAACAGG
Molecule: ribosomal RNA, 253 nt
Filed under: uncultured bacterium
Lineage: Bacteria
Description: partial 16S ribosomal RNA
Rfam family: Bacterial small subunit ribosomal RNA
Source: RNAcentral